UACGUAGGGGGCAAGCGUUGUCCGGAAUCAUUGGGCGUAAAGCGCGUGUAGGCGGUUCGGUAAGUCGGCUGUGAAAGUCCAGGGCUCAACCCUGGGAUGCCGGUCGAUACUGCCGGACUAGAGUUCGGAAGAGGCGAGUGGAAUUCCCGGUGUAGCGGUGAAAUGCGCAGAUAUCAGGAGGAACACCGGUGGCGAAGGCGGGACUCUGGGCCGAUACUGACGCUGAGGAGCGAAAGCGUGGGGAGCGAACAGG
This 253-nucleotide ribosomal RNA is filed under the name uncultured bacterium. RNAcentral's name for it is "partial 16S ribosomal RNA". It matches the Rfam family "Bacterial small subunit ribosomal RNA", at positions 524 to 776 of the family's 1533-position model. The record is from RNAcentral.